Molecule: non-coding RNA, 29 nt
Filed under: Mus musculus (house mouse)
Lineage: Eukaryota; Metazoa; Chordata; Mammalia; Rodentia; Muridae
Source: RNAcentral
UGAGGAUCAAAAUCAUGAAAACCAGGACA